This 497-nucleotide ribosomal RNA is filed under the name uncultured bacterium. Its description in RNAcentral is "partial 16S ribosomal RNA". It matches the Rfam family "Bacterial small subunit ribosomal RNA", at positions 28 to 507 of the family's 1533-position model. The record is from RNAcentral.
GACGAACGCUGGCGGCGUGCCUAAUACAUGCAAGUCGAACGCUGAAGAGAGGAGCUUGCUCUUCUUGGAUGAGUUGCGAACGGGUGAGUAACGCGUAGGUAACCUGCCUGUUAGCGGGGGAUAACUAUUGGAAACGAUAGCUAAUACCGCAUAAAAUUUAUUAUUGCAUGAUACUUAAUUGAAAGAUGCAUCUGCAUCACUACCUGAUGGACCUGCGUUGUAUUAGCUAGUUGGUGAGGUAACGGCUCACCAAGGCGACGAUUCAUAGGCGACCUGAGAGGGUGGACGGCCAAACUGGGACUGAGACACGGCCCAGACUCCUAAGGGGAGGAACAGGAGGGAAUCUUCGGGAAUGGGGGGAAAGCUGGACGAGGAACGCCGCGUGAGUGAAGAAGGUUUUCGGAUCGGAAAGAUCGGUUGUAAGAGAAGAAAGGGAGUGAGAGUGGAAAGUGCACACUGUGACGGUAUCUUACCAGAAAGGGACGGCUAACUACGUG